AUUGAACGCUGGCGGCAUGCCUUACACAUGCAAGUCGAACGGCAGCACGGGUGCUUGCACCUGGUGGCGAGUGGCGAACGGGUGAGUAAUACAUCGGAACAUGUCCUGUAGUGGGGGAUAGCCCGGCGAAAGCCGGAUUAAUACCGCAUACGAUCUACGGAUGAAAGCGGGGGACCUUCGGGCCUCGCGCUAUAGGGUUGGCCGAUGGCUGAUUAGCUAGUUGGUGGGGUAAAGGCCUACCAAGGCGACGAUCAGUAGCUGGUCUGAGAGGACGACCAGCCACACUGGGACUGAGACACGGCCCAGACUCCUACGGGAGGCAGCAGUGGGGAAUUUUGGACAAUGGGCGAAAGCCUGAUCCAGCAAUGCCGCGUGUGUCAAGAAGGCCUUCGGGUUGUAAAGCACUUUUGUCCGGAAAGAAAUCCUUGGCCCUAAUACGGUCGGGGGAUGACGGUACCGGAAGAAUAAGCACCGGCUAACUACGUG
Molecule: ribosomal RNA, 486 nt
Filed under: uncultured bacterium
Lineage: Bacteria
Description: partial 16S ribosomal RNA
Rfam family: Bacterial small subunit ribosomal RNA
Source: RNAcentral